RNAcentral lists this ribosomal RNA (263 nucleotides) under uncultured bacterium. RNAcentral's name for it is "partial 16S ribosomal RNA". It matches the Rfam family "Bacterial small subunit ribosomal RNA", at positions 793 to 1055 of the family's 1533-position model. The record is from RNAcentral.
GUCCACGCCGUAAACGAUGGGCAUUAGGUGUGGGAGGUGUCGACUCCUCCCGUGCCGUCGCUAACGCAUUAAAUGCCCCGCCUGGGGAGUACGGCCGCAAGGCUAAAACUCAAAGGAAUUGACGGGGGCCCGCACAAGCAGCGGAGCAUGUGGUUUAAUUCGACGCAACGCGAAGAACCUUACCUGGGUUUGACAUGUUCGUGACCGGUGUGGAAACACACCUUUCCUUCGGGACACGAUCACAGGUGGUGCAUGGCUGUCGU